RNAcentral lists this transfer RNA (72 nucleotides) under Procavia capensis (Cape rock hyrax). Its description in RNAcentral is "tRNA-Ala (AGC) (tRNA-Ala-AGC-7-1)". It matches the Rfam family "tRNA". Rfam says of the family: Transfer RNA (tRNA) molecules are approximately 80 nucleotides in length. The record is from RNAcentral. Lineage: Eukaryota; Metazoa; Chordata; Mammalia; Hyracoidea; Procaviidae.
GGGGGUGUAGUUCAGUGGUAGAGCGCGUGCUUAGCAUGCACGAGGCCCUGGGUUCGAUCCCCAGCACCUCCA